UGGUAAUCCAUGAGGUGAAAUCUUCAAACG
Molecule: non-coding RNA, 30 nt
Filed under: Rattus norvegicus (Norway rat)
Lineage: Eukaryota; Metazoa; Chordata; Mammalia; Rodentia; Muridae
Source: RNAcentral